GCACUUGAAGCUUCAACAGCCGACUGUUCUCUGCAGUCAGUGGUGGUACAUUGGUAGCGUUCACAUCAACGCGUGGUAAACGGUCGACUUUUUUCAAUCGGUGGCGCUUUUUCCAGUCUUCAACUAACAGAAUACAGCUGGCCUGGUGAUAGAGCCUGCCCAGAAACGUUAUAGCUACUAACACCGCAGAACACAGAAAAGAAGAGGUUUCUCGUUUAUCAGUCAGUGACAAGAUAAGAAGAAGGAUUUCCUGUUCUACAAUAAUUAUUUUCGGUUGCGGUCAAAGUUGUGUGUGUGCUUGUUGCGGAUUAUACUGUGCGAAUUUAGCAGGUGUUUCGGGUAUUUGUGUGGAAUAGUUGUGAAGCAGAGUGAUUGGAUCUACUGUUUGCCAAAAGGAUGAGCGUGGAAGUUUUGGACUGUUAGUGGCCAAUGCGUCAUGUAGCUGACAACUAGAAUAUUGGACUACCUAGGGACAUCGUAUGAUGGACAUAAGCCUGGCCGAACCUUACCGACUAGAAGAACCCAACUUUCUAGCAUCAUAUUCACCUGCCAACUAUUUGGACCCGUUGAACCAAGAAUCAUCAACAUUUGGAGAUGCUCCCGCUACAAAGUCAAAGUCAUACAUCGCGCAGUUGCCGCCAGGUGUCGGACCGUUGGCCGGUACGAUUACGCUAAUAUUCAUGGCCGUCGGUAUAUUCGGCAACCUGCUUACUGUGGUCGCCCUACUCAGGUGCCCGAGGGUCAGGAACGUGGCAGCCGCAUUCAUAAUCAGUUUAUGUAUUGCAGAUUUCAUCUUCUGCCUGACCGUUCUACCGCCGAGUGCGAUUAGCUUCAUAAAUGGCUCCUGGUACCCUGGAGAGCCACUAUGCACUCUCAUGCCAUUUGUACGUUAUGGCAAUGUGGGAUUUUCAUUGCUUUCCAUAGCUAUGAUCACAAUAAAUAGGUAUAUAAUGAUUGCCCACCACUCAGUAUACGCAAGCAUAUACAGGCCCAAGUAUAUAGUGAUAAUGCUGGUAUUCUGCUGGCUACUGAGCUUUGGAAUGCAGAUACCAACGGCUCUACAAAAGUGGGGUUUAUACGCUUAUGAUGAGUAUGUGGGUACUUGCUCCAUUAUGGAGGACAAGGAUAAAAAAUCCUCGAAAAAGGCUCUAUUUAUUAUUGGGUUUAUUUGCCCGUGUCUAGUCAUUAUAUGCUGUUACGCAAGAAUAUUCUGGGUUGUACAUAGUUCAGAGAAGAGAAUGCGUCAACAUGCAGCAAAAAAGCCAAAAAUUAAAGAUCAUGGAACAACAAUAAAGGAGAGAAGAGAAGCCAAAGCCAAGCGCAAUGAAUGGAGAAUUACCAAAAUGGUUCUUGCAAUAUUUCUGUCAUUCAUCAUUUGUUACCUACCAAUUACCUUGGUCAAACUUUUUAUAAGUAAUUCUUAUCCAUUUCUCCACAUGCUUGCCUACUUACUACUCUACGCAUCAGCAUGUAUAAAUCCAAUAAUCUACGUAAUCAUGAACAAGCAAUACAGACAAGCCUAUCAAACAGUAAUGAUGUGUCGAAGGCCAGGAUUCUUGUCUGGGAUCCCCGGUCAAGGAUCAAGCUAUGGAGGAGAGAUGAAUGCUGUCAAUGUCCAUAACAGCACAUGAUAUUCGUUCAUAUUGUAUGAAUGCAAAGUUACCAUUAAGACCAAAGAGGCAAGCCCAGUCAAGAUUGAUAAAUCAAGAGAUGAGAAUAAAACGAUGGUCUCUCACGUGUCUAUCGCUAUGACUCCUAUACGAUUGUCAGAUCUUCAACAAGGGAACGACUACAUCUAAUAUUUGUAUUUUCAAAACUGAAUCACCCGGAUGCACAAAAGCCUGUCAAAUUUUAACCAUGAUCAAAUGCUACGAGAACCAAUAAGAGAAGCCUUCAUUUCAUCAAAAAAGCAUACUAUGAUUGGUUGUCGUGGCAUUUAAUCAUGAUUCAAAUUUCAUAAUCUUCUUUGCAACCGGGCCAAUGUGUUCAAACAAGUUGAUAUGAAUCAAUCCAGGUAUUAGAUACCAGAAACAUGUAUAUAACAUAGAUUAUUCUAGAAUAGGUUGUAGUUCACUAAGGACCGCAUACACCAUCUCGGUUCUAACGGAUAUAAAUUGAUCAGCUAUUGGCUAUAACUAGGAAUGUAAUCCAUCACACUAAAUGCGAUCAUGUAAACUUAGUUUAUUCAUGUAAAUUAUGCUAGAAUUUAUGAUUCAUGCAAACUCAAACGAACAUAGAUGGUGCGUAUGAGUCUAAUGAUUAUUAUGUAAAAAUUGGAAUUGAAGAAUAUUUGUAUCAAAGACAAAGUACAAAGAGUAUGAUAAGUUAGUUGAGCUUUUUCCAAAGAAUGUAGGGGUAGAGAAACUGACUUUGUGAUAAGAUCUCCUAAUAUUUUUAAUAAUUAUUAUCAAAUGAUUUAUUUAUCUCCAAAUAAUUUGCUUGUUUAAUUCUCUUGUCAUACACCUUUCGAACUUUUAACCACUUUUCUAGCAAAUAUUUUUAUAUUUGAUUGUAUUUGAACCCAAGAGAUUGAGAUGGUUACAAACUACCAGUCAGCGAAUUCAUCUUCAUUGAUUUGAUAUAAUAUUAUGUGGCGAACAGAAAGAUUCGUGGAUAAUUUAUCAAUACUUAUUAUAAAGUAGAUGAAGUAUUGCUCAAGAAUGUGAUACUUUUUUCUAAUAAUAAUGUAAACAGUAAACACUUUUCCAAAGCUCUAAUAAGUCACAAAAAUAAAAAUUUAGUAGGAUAUUUCACGUUAGGAAUAUUUAUUUAAUGCUUGAUUUUAAAAUGUAUGUGGUAUAGAUAUCAUUAUUGUAUUUUAUAAGGAUUGUAAAUUUUUGUACAUAAUAAUUACACUGAAUUUAUUACAUGUUAUUAUAUCAAACACCAUGGGUUACCAUGUUUUAUUAAAUGUGCCAUUGAUACUGAA
This is an RNA transcript of Nilaparvata lugens (brown planthopper), 2929 nucleotides long. It is a transcript of the gene named G-protein coupled receptor moody, with no coding region annotated. NCBI's taxonomy places the organism in Eukaryota, Metazoa, Arthropoda, Insecta, Hemiptera, Delphacidae. The record is from RefSeq and is a predicted model, not a curated record. The transcript is spliced from 10 exons.